Molecule: non-coding RNA, 31 nt
Filed under: Mus musculus (house mouse)
Lineage: Eukaryota; Metazoa; Chordata; Mammalia; Rodentia; Muridae
Source: RNAcentral
UGCAACCACUCAUUUCUUCAGCUCCUGUUCC